UCCACUCUGUGUGUUGGCAAAGCGGUGUGUGUGUGUGCGGGGGCGGAGGGCUCUGGGGCCUGGGGAGCUGAUAGGGACUCAAGACCUGAGGUGCCCUGGACACACACACACACGGACACACACCCAGAUAGGAACCGUGGGUGGAAUGGCUCCAUUCUAUAGAUUGUGACCUCACUAAGGAUCAGGGCCUGACCUUUUAUGUGCGUGAGUGUGCGUGUGUGUGUGUGUCCUAUCAUAAGGGAACUAAGGAGUCACAAGGAGUCUCCUGUUUGUUCCCCGUCCAGAUGCCCAGGGACUCCUGCCCCCGUCGCUCUCUUCCGCCCCCUGUGCCAAAGCACACAGCAGAUAGUGGCCAAGACGACUGUCUGUCUGCUCAGAGUGUGGGAAACGCGCGGGCACAGGAACUAGAAACAGGAAAGACAAGCAAGAGACUUAAGGUUAACGAGGUCAUCAGGAACGACUUGUCCAGCAUCUCUGUCAAUACUCAUGCGUAGAAGCACACACACACAUAUACAUACACGCACACACAUACACACACACAUACACACAUCAGGGGACCAACAAGCAGAGCUGUCAGAGAAGAAGCUUCCAGAGAACCACAGACCUGCCACCCUCCGUCCGUCUGUCCAUCCAUCCAUCCCUGCUUUCUUUCCCGUCGGAUCCCUAACAGCAACUUGUGUAUCGUUGCAUAUCAAGAUUAACCCUCAGUGACCAGACACCGCGUUCACAUCUCUGUCCACGUCAGUAAAGGUUAUUGUUGAGGAGUUUAUUUAGAAGUGGCGCAUAAACCUGAGGAGACUAUUUUUACUUUUAUGCCUUAAAUGACAGUUAUCCUUACCUGGGGGAGGAACAACCCCUCGACCCCCCCACUCUUGGACACUCUUCAGAAUGUCUGGACUAGCCAAUGGAAUUGACCACUCCGGUCCUACUGCCCAAUCAUAGCGCAGCCUGCCCCAAGCCAUGCCUUAUAAGACCACUUCACUUGCCAUGAAUGACAAUCAGUCAAGUUUCAUAUCAGCCAGCUUAUUUUUUUAUUGUUAUAUUGUUGGAAUCAUUUCUGUUCUAGGUUUACAGGGAAAAGUGUCUGGAAUAUAUAGGGACAUGUGAAUAGAUUAGAUUUAUUGUAUUGGAAUUUUUAUUAUCAGAUUCAUUUAUACUGAAUGUCAUGUAUGAUAUGAUUGUUAUUAUUUUUUUGUUAUAAUUAUUGUUGCUACGAUGUAUUUGAAAUGUACUUCUAUCUAUGCCUUAAAGUUAAUAUGCAGUCUGCUCUUUAACUUGACAGUCUUCCUAUUAUAACCCAGUCUGUAGCGCUUUCCUUGUGCCCUUUCCUUUCCUCCUGUCACCUAGUGCCUAGACUUUUCUCCUCCUUCUAUAUCAUUCCGUCCAGCAGUCUCAGCAGCGUUCAGGCAAUCAUGGCAGAUGGCCAUCCAAAGAGACCCAGAGCUAGGAACUAAGAGCUAAGCUUUGAACUGUCGUUCUCACUGCCUUUUUCUAGAGCCUUCCACAUAGUCACAUCUGGACUAGGGACAGAGUCAGUGCCUGCUCUGCACAGGCUUGGCUUGUAAAUAUGCACACAAUGAAUUAAAUCAAAUCAAACUUUAUUUCAACUUGAUUUGAGUGUAUGACAAUCUUUGUAUGACCCCCCCCCCCCCCCCCCUCCCCACCCCUCUCCCAGCUGGUGUAAGAUAGUGUAGUGGAGAUGGAGGGAGGUUUGGGGUCUGACUUGCGAACCCGGCAAUAAUUGAUCUAUUUCAUACCAACGGAUUUUUACCCUUGGUGAAGUUAUUGCUCAGGGUCUCUCCUCCUAGUCUUCCUCUGUUUUGCCAGGAGCCAGUCCCAGGCCCCAUCAAUACAGAAUGCACUUUACCAUAGCAACGGCACCAGAACCCCUGUCUCCAUGACCACCCCUCCUCAGAAGAUCCUUUACCUGUGCCAGUAAAGACAGGAAGGAUCCCUAAUCUAGUCUGCAUGAUGGGAGCUCACCGACGGGUCUCCCGUGUCACUUCCUCUCUGUCGUCACGUUAUCUGUCGUCACGUCAACCGUAUGUAUAGGCCAUAGUAUGUUUUUUGUUGUUUUUUGUUGUUUUUUGAUCUCUGCAUGCACAGUACUAAUGUAAGGGUCUGAUUGAGCUCGGUUAGGUCGUUUGAUAGUGGCACGCCUUCGUGCAAGUGACUGUUAUACCGUGCCUUACUCAUUUGCUCAGCUACAAACAAGACUGUAUCUCUGACGCUUUCCUGUAAAGGCGCAAGGUAGAACACGUUUUUCUCUUUAAUAUGAAAUAUUUAUGGACAUUGAAAGGAUGUUUUUAUUUACACUCAAUGUGGGUUCUCCAAAAUGAUUUAAUAAAUGAGAGUUGAAAAA
This is a long non-coding RNA of Hypomesus transpacificus, 2362 nucleotides long. RefSeq lists it as uncharacterized. The transcript is spliced from 2 exons. The record is from RefSeq and is a predicted model, not a curated record. NCBI's taxonomy places the organism in Eukaryota, Metazoa, Chordata, Actinopteri, Osmeriformes, Osmeridae.